AUUGAACGCUGGCGGCAUGCUUUACACAUGCAAGUCGAACGGUAACAGGCCGCAAGGUGCUGACGAGUGGCGAACGGGUGAGUAAUGCAUCGGAACGUGCCCAGUCGUGGGGGAUAACUACUCGAAAGAGUAGCUAAUACCGCAUACGAUCUAUGGAUGAAAGCGGGGGACCGUAAGGCCUCGCGCGAUUGGAGCGGCCGAUGUCAGAUUAGGUAGUUGGUGGGGUAAAGGCUCACCAAGCCAACGAUCUGUAGCUGGUCUGAGAGGACGACCAGCCACACCGGGAACGGGGAACGGGCCAGACCUCCUAGGGGGGGCGGAGGGGGGGAAUUUUGAAAAAUGGGGGAAAGCCUGACCCAGCAAGGCCGGGGGGAGGAAAAAGGCUUUGGGGUUGUAAACUUGUUUUGUGGGGAACAAAAGGGCUUUGGUUAAACCCCGGGGCUAAUGCGGGUACCGAAAGAAUAAGCCCCGGCUAAUUACGU
Molecule: ribosomal RNA, 482 nt
Filed under: uncultured bacterium
Lineage: Bacteria
Description: partial 16S ribosomal RNA
Rfam family: Bacterial small subunit ribosomal RNA
Source: RNAcentral